AUGUAUGGGACACGAGACUGUUUAGGCUAACUUUCUUUUGUGGACCUCAUGAGCUUGGUUGAUUAGACUUAUGGGAUCUGCCUAAUAGCAAUCUCAAACCUUGAGCUUGCUCUAGCUUCCCUCACUUCUUCUUAUUGUUAUGCCUCCUCUCCUCUUCUUUUCCUUUCUUAAGGCUAACGUCAACCUUCCCUUACUAAUGUGGAUUCGAAACCGUCGCCUUCCCCAGUAGUCCCUUUUUGGCUGUGUCCUCUUCUAUUCCUAUUCAACUAGGAAUUUCUUAUAUUUCUUAUAGUAAGAACAUAAAACAGUUGACACAAAAGUAACCUAAUGUUACACUCAUGAUCCUUUCUUGAGCAUCCUUUGGGUCUUGAGUUAUGGGAUCAUCUACUUGACCUUCAGUUGCGGUUAUCUUAGUUGUAAAUUUAGACUCAAUAGCCUAAGUUGCAUUAUUAUCGGCUCUCUCAGUUGCAAUAAAAAAUUGGCCACUGACCUUCCCCAAACAGUGAAAUUGCUUUCAUCCGCACAAUGGUAGCAUGUUGCAAUGCGAAACCUCGAUAACUUCACAGUAUUCUCAGUAUAGAAAUUGUCGAGGUGGCGAAAUCAUGUGGGAUAACUGUAAUACCAUAGAUUCAAAGGCACGCGCAACAGCUACACAUUAUAUAGAGAAAAGUUGCAAAGAUGGAGACUGCCUUGCACUAUUUUGCCGAGCAUGUAAUCCAUAAUUUUAGUUGUUACCUCUUCACAACUCUAGUCAGUU
This 757-nucleotide long non-coding RNA is filed under the name Durio zibethinus. RNAcentral's name for it is "long non-coding RNA (DZIB_LNC000425)". The record is from RNAcentral. Lineage: Eukaryota; Viridiplantae; Streptophyta; Magnoliopsida; Malvales; Malvaceae.